GUUUUGUAUUAAUAUGAUAUCAGACACAAAGCAGUGUUCAAGAGUUGUUGUUUGCAGGUCGAAAGCACGAAUGCAAUCGGCACUAUUGGUAGAAUCCAAAAAUGAUCCUUCCGCAGGUUCACCUACGGAAA
RNAcentral lists this unclassified non-coding RNA (131 nucleotides) under uncultured fungus. RNAcentral describes it as "sequence contains ITS1". The record is from RNAcentral. Lineage: Eukaryota; Fungi.